GAGAUUUAUACUUUAAUGUGAUUUUUAUUAUUUAGUUUGUGAUUUCACUUACCCAAAUGAUAGUAGUCUUAUGGGUUUCUUCAAUUUUAUUUUGUUUUUGGAGUUCAAUGGCUAUUAGAAGAGACUGAUAUUGUGUGUAUUGCAAAUCGAUGAAUAAAGUAAAUUUAAAAUUUCAAAAUAUAUAGGCGGGGUGAGAAGAGAUCGAAUGUAGGAUGAACAAAACAAAUAUGAAAUUGGAAAAAAAAUAUAUGUAUGGUGAAAAAAGAAUUUAGGGUGAACAAAGCAAAAAUGAGAAAAAUGUAUUUUAUGUAUUGUAAAUGGGUGAACAAAACAGACUUACAAUUAAAAAUAUAUAAAUAAGGUGUGAAGAGAACGUGAGGUGAAUAAAUUAAUUUUUGAGGUGACAAUAGACGCACCUAAAAAACCAACACGAAGGUGGAAUCUGUCUCUACGACGGUCAAGUCUUAUCGAAAAGCUAUAGACGACCUUAAGAAGCAAGCUGAAUCUGACCGAAAGGAGCGUAAGUCAGACCAGGCGAUCCUCUUAAAGCUUAAUUACAAGUUCAUUGUCACAUCCCGACCCUUAUAUUUUUACCUUAUUUACUAGCGUGAUUAUAAUAAGAAUUUUACCGUCUCCGUCAUUGAGUAAAUAGUUUAAUUGGUCCCUAGAGGGGUUUCGGGGACGAUUAUGUGCGGAGGAUUAUUAGUAUGAAGAAAAUACGACGACGGUAAAAAUAGUAAAUUUUAGCUAGUAAAAGGUAAUUUUUAUUCGGGUAUUAUUUUUCGGGGUGUUGAAUUUUGGAAUUUUGGGUUAAAAGGAGAGUUGGGUCGGCUGGGCCGAGCCCAACCCAUUUCUUCUUCCUUUCUCUCUCUCUCCCUCCCGAUUUUUCUUCUCUUCCCACCCGGUUUUCUCCUUUCUCCACCCGGAAAGUUCUCCACCGCCGUCCGCCGCCGUCCGGCCGCCCCAGACCGCCACACCGGUCCCAAUCAAUCGGUCUCCCUCCCAGCAACAUUUCUAGACCGGUAGCAGCCCCCCUAGCGCCGCCGUGAGUGAGCGGUGCCGCCCGAAAGGUCCGACUGCCGUAGCUCUCCUNNNNNNNNNNNNNNNNNNNNNNNNNNNNNNNNNNNNNNNNNNNNNNNNNNAAAUUUAAGAAGAAUGAAUCAUAUAGUCUUAGCAACAGCAUCAUCUGGAAUAGCGGCAAACAUAUUGCCCGGCGGGAGGACAGCUCACUCCAGAUUCAAGAUUCCCCUGAAAGUACUACCUUCAUCUAUGUGUUCCAUAGGUAAACAGUCUGCACUGGCACAAUUGGUACGACAAUCCACUGCAGUUAUAUGGGAUGAGGCACCUAUGACAAAUCGAGAUGUGUUUGAAUUAGUUGAUCGAACUUUUCAGGACAUAAUGGACGUGGAACUUCCUUUUGGUGGUAAAAUAAUGAUUUUCGGGGGAGAUUUUCGUCAAGUCAUUCCUGUCAUUCCUAAAGGAACAAGGUCUCAACUCAUCGAAGCCUCGAUUAUGAGAUCAUCGUUUUGGCCAGCUACAAGGAUAUUGAGAUUGAGGCAGAAUAUGAGAUCCAUAAAUGACCACCGAUUUGGGGAGUUUCUAUUACGUGUUGGUGAUGGUAGUGAACAAGUCAUCCAUGACGACAUGAUAAGGUUACCAAAAAGCAUGGUGAUUCCAUGGCAAAGCGACCAAUCUAUCUUUCAAAUUAUUGAUAGAGUUUUCCCUAAUCUUGGUGAUCACGCAGGCGAUGCAAGAUACAUGGUGGAUAGAGCAUUGAUUACUCCUUUGAACAACGAUGCAGACAUGUUGAAUGAAAAGAUCAUCAGUAUGUUUCCUGGGGAAGAAAUUUCAUUUUACUCAUUUGACUCUGUUGAAGAUGACAUCCGAAAUCUGUACCAGCCUAAGUUUUUAAAUUCAAUAACCGCAAGUGGUUUACCGCCGCACAUGUUAACUCUAAAAACAGGUGCUCCAAUCAUGCUCUUGAGAAAUAUAGACCCAAAAUUAGGGUUGUGUAAUGAUACUAGAUUGUUAUGUCGUGGUUCCUACCAAAAUUUGAUUGAUGCAGAAAUUAUGACAGGCGAGUUUGUUGGGUCUAGAGUUUUUUUGCCAAGAAUUCCUUUGCAAAGUGCAGAAAAUGCGGGACUACUGUUUCAACUUACAAGAAAGCAAUUUCCAGUCAAGUUGAGCUUUGCUUUGACCAUAAAUAAAUCUCAAGGUCAAACCAUCCCACAUGUGGGAGUUUACCUCCCAGAUCAUGUUUUUAGUCAUGGACAAUUAUAUGUGGCAUUGUCGAGAGGAAUAUCAGAGUCUACCACAAAGCUGUUGGUUAAAAAAGGGUCCAUAGUUGGUGAAGAUGGCAUAUUUACUAAGAACGUCGUGUUUAAAGAAGUUUUGUUUCAUUAGUCAACCAAUAAUGAUAUGUCGUGUUCAUAGGUACUUCAUUCAGUAAAUCAAAUUAAUUGUGGUGUUUACUUUUUAAUUCUUAUGUUUAACGUUUUGAAUUUUUUCUUAUUUGUAGAAGUACUGCUUUUAAUUCUUAUGCUUAACGUUUUGAAUUUUUUCUUAUUUGUAGAAGUACUGCGACAUGAAAGCUCUCAACUAGAGAAGAAGCUACAAAUAGGCGAUGGCUUCAGGCGGCAUGUUUCUUUAUUUUCAUGUGGUUGGCGCAAGGGAAUAUCAGUGACAAUGAACACCGUUGAUCUCAGUAAUCUGAUUCUAAAAGAGUGGAAGAAAAAAAACAAGCACAGUUUGUACUCUUAAACUCUUCUUAUUUUCUUUCUUUUUAGGUAUGGUAAUUAACCACAUUGUUACUAAUUGAAAUUCUUAUAGUUGGAACUACAAAAACGGACGUAGGGAAUUGAUGACACAUGACAUUUCUCACAUUAAACAAACUUGGAGAAAGGUUCUGCGUGUUAGGUAUUCAAAACUAUCUAUUCAAGAAGAUAUGUUUAUUGUUAAUUUUAUUGCAUGCAUCUUCAACAUUCACACCAGUUUUCUUGGCUUUUUAUUUUUAUGCUCACUAACUGGAUAAAUAUAUUUACAGGAAGCAAAAACACAAUGAGCAAUACUCUUUUUUAGUUAAGGUAUUGUAAUUUCACUUAAAUUACUUAACAUCAAACCUUAAUAUAUAAGCAUUAUGACGUCUCCUCUCCAUAUUUACAUGUUUUUUCAUUACAGUUUGACAACCAGCGUCUUGAGAAGUUGAAGCAUAAUAUUGAGGUGAUAAUAUAUAUAUAUAUAUAUAUAUAUAUAUAUAUAUAUAUAAUGAGUUGUUUCGUGGGAUCUAUAUACUUGGUUGAAUGAAUUUAACUCUUUCUAUUACCACAAAACUCUUCUGAUAAUUGGAGCACAGGUACUGCAGCAAUCGAAUUAUCUGAAUUCAUGGUAAGUUUGCUCAGUAUACCAAUAUCUUACUGUUUAAAAUGAAAACUUGGAGAUUCAUUAUCUUACUUAUUUUUUCCUACUCUGAAUCUAUAGUUUAACCAACGGUGGUUGACAAAUGGAUGGCUGAGAUGGAGUUGAUCGGAGCAUGUGGACUUGAUUAGUCUUUCUUUAAAAUUCAUUUACAAAAACAGUUUUAUAAUUGUUGUUAUUAAAAACUUUAAUAAGUUUGCAUCAAAAAUUUAGGCGUUGUGUAAUUUGCAACAUUUUUUUUUUUAAAAUGCACCCUUUUCAUCUUCAACAAUUUUUCCAUAAUUUUUUUUUUAAAUUUGACAAUUUCAAUGCCUUUUUUUGACUGUAAAUGAAUGUUAAAAAAAAGAUUAUUACAUGUCAAAUGAUACAAUAAAGACAUUGUGAACUAUAUGAAUCAAAAUAUAGAAAAAUGAACAUUGUAUGCAUUGAUAAAAGAAAUAGUUAAUUAGUGUUAAAAACAUAAACAAAAUUAAACGCACGUGCGAGCGCGGCCAUUUCACACGCGCAUCGCGCGUGCAGAAAGGCUAGUGAGUUGGUAAAAAAAUAUUUACCACUCAAAUUAGUACCCCACUCUAAUUAGUACCUUGGCGUGAAAUAAAUAUAGAGGUGGAAUGAAAUGUUGAGAACAAGAGUGAGAUAACUAGCAAGGCAAAACUGGUUUACUGAGGUUUAGAAUCACAGAGCCUAUGUUGAUGCUCUGCACAACCUCACCAAACCAGUCAUGGGUCUCUCCUUCUUCCUACCAAUACAUAAACCCAAACCCUUUGAAGCCCCGCUUCAUUUUCUUCAGACCCAAUUCAAGAACCUCUCUUUUUGGCGCCAAAUUUCGUGUCCCGGCGACCACGCUCGCCGGAACU
This 4271-nucleotide long non-coding RNA is filed under the name Fragaria vesca (wild strawberry). RNAcentral describes it as "long non-coding RNA (FVES_LNC001444)". The record is from RNAcentral. Lineage: Eukaryota; Viridiplantae; Streptophyta; Magnoliopsida; Rosales; Rosaceae.